This 406-nucleotide ribosomal RNA is filed under the name uncultured bacterium. RNAcentral's name for it is "partial 16S ribosomal RNA". It matches the Rfam family "Bacterial small subunit ribosomal RNA", at positions 30 to 526 of the family's 1533-position model. The record is from RNAcentral.
AUUGAACGCUGGCGGCAGGCCUAACACAUGCAAGUCGAACGAGUGGCGGACGGGUGAGUACUGUCUGGGAAACUGCCUGAUGGAGGGGGAUAACUACUGGAAACGGUAGCUAAUACCGCAUACCAUCGGAUGUGCCCAGAUGGGAUUAGCUAGUAGGUGGGGUAAAGGCUCACCUAGGCGACGAUCCCUAGCUGGUCUGAGAGGAUGACCAGCAAGACUGUAACUGAGACACGGUGCAGACUCGUACGUGCGGCAGUGGUGGGGAAUAUUGCACGAGGGGUGGAAGCGUGAUGCAGCCAUGCCGCGUGUAUGAAAGAGGCAGUCGGGUUUGAAAGUACUUUCAGCGGGGCGGCGUUGCCCGCAGAAGGAGCACCGGCUAACUCCGUGCCAGGAGCCGCGGUAAUUC